RNAcentral lists this unclassified non-coding RNA (157 nucleotides) under uncultured Sordariomycetes. RNAcentral's name for it is "sequence contains ITS1". Lineage: Eukaryota; Fungi; Ascomycota; Sordariomycetes. The record is from RNAcentral.
CCGAGUUAUCAAAACUCCCAACCCAUGUGAACUUACCUCUUGUUGCCUCGGCGGUUAGCCCCGGCGCCCGACGGGCCCGGACCCCGGCGCCGCCGCAGGACCCCGAAACUCUGUCUCAGUGGAAGCAUCGUCUGAGUGAGAUUUAUCAAAUCAAUCA